Long non-coding RNA from Chelonia mydas (Green sea turtle), 192 nucleotides. RefSeq lists it as uncharacterized. The transcript has 2 exons. Lineage: Eukaryota; Metazoa; Chordata; Testudines; Cheloniidae. The record is from RefSeq and is a predicted model, not a curated record.
GAGACUAAUCAAUUUAUUUGAGCGUGAGCUUUCGUGAGCUACAGCUCACUUCAUCGGAUGCAUCCGAUGAAGUGAGCUGUGGCUCACGAGGGCUUGUGCUCGGGUGAAUUGGUUGGUCUCUAGGGUGCCACAAGUACUCCUUUUCUUUUUGUGAAUACAGACUAACACGGCUGUUACUCUGAAACCUGUCAU